RNAcentral lists this long non-coding RNA (265 nucleotides) under Elaeis guineensis (African oil palm). RNAcentral describes it as "long non-coding RNA (EGUI_LNC037569)". Lineage: Eukaryota; Viridiplantae; Streptophyta; Magnoliopsida; Arecales; Arecaceae. The record is from RNAcentral.
UGGCCUUAGGGUGAGGAUGGAGAAUAAAGAGUUCGGAGCCAGAAAUAAAGAAGGAUGAGGAUCAGUCGGGAUAAGACAACAUAACAAAGCAAAACUAAUAAUCAGUUGGAUAGAGUUCGGAACCAGUUGAGCAGGACAAAGACCGUAAUAGUCAAGAAGAUUUCGGACGAACUCCGAAAUCAAAAAUCAAAGAUCAGUUCGAAGGUCCUCGACAUAGAAUGUAAUCUGAUCUGGAGGAGGAGAGUUCAACCGACCAUUCGGACCA